AACGGAAAGGCUCCAGCUUGCUGGAGUACUCGAGUGGCGAACGGGUGAGUAACACGUGGGUAAUCUGCCCUGCACUCUGGGAUAAGCCUGGGAAACUGGGUCUAAUACUGGAUAUGACCUUUCUCCUUAUGGGGUUUGGUGGAAAGUUUUUCGGUGUAGGAUGAGCCCGCGGCCUAUCAGCUUGUUGGUGGGGUGAUGGCCUACCAAGGCGACGACGGGUAGCCGGCCUGAGAGGGUGAUCGGCCACAUUGGGACUGAGAUACGGCCCAGACUCCUACGGGAGGCAGCAGUGGGGAAUAUUGCACAAUGGGCGGAAGCCUGAUGCAGCGACGCCGCGUGAGGGAUGACGGCCUUCGGGUUGUAAACCUCUUUCAGCAGGGACGAAGCGUAAGUGACGGUACCUGCAGAAGAAGCACCGGCUAACUAUGUGCCAGCAGCCGCGGUAAUACGUAGGGUGCGAGCGUUGUCCGGAAUUACUGGGCGUAAAGAGCUCGUAGGCGGUUUGUCACGUCGUCUGUGAAAUCCUAGGGCUUAACCCUGGACGUGCAGGCGAUACGGGCUGACUUGAGUACUACAGGGGAGACUGGAAUUUCUGGUGUAGCGGUGGAAUGCACAGAUAUCAGGAAGAACACCGAUGGCGAAGGCAGGUCUCUGGGUAGUAACUGACGCUGAGGAGCGAAAGCAUGGGUAGCGAACAGGAUUAGAUACCCUGGU
Molecule: ribosomal RNA, 714 nt
Filed under: uncultured Actinomycetales bacterium
Lineage: Bacteria; Bacillati; Actinomycetota; Actinomycetes; Actinomycetales
Description: bacterial SSU rRNA
Rfam family: Bacterial small subunit ribosomal RNA
Source: RNAcentral